Molecule: ribosomal RNA, 1648 nt
Filed under: Streptomyces sp. H12
Lineage: Bacteria; Bacillati; Actinomycetota; Actinomycetes; Kitasatosporales; Streptomycetaceae
Description: bacterial SSU rRNA
Rfam family: Bacterial small subunit ribosomal RNA (bases 1-1477)
Source: RNAcentral
CUGGGGGCGGGCGUGCUUGACCUUGCGAGUCCGUACGUAGAAAGCCUUUCGGGGUGGUUAGUGGCGAACGGGUGAGUAACACGUGGGCAAUCUGCCCUUCACUCUGGGACAAGCCCUGGAAACGGGGUCUAAUACCGGAUAACACUCUGUCCUGCAUGGGACGGGGUUAAAAGCUCCGGCGGUGAAGGAUGAGCCCGCGGCCUAUCAGCUUGUUGGUGGGGUAAUGGCCUACCAAGGCGACGACGGGUAGCCGGCCUGAGAGGGCGACCGGCCACACUGGGACUGAGACACGGCCCAGACUCCUACGGGAGGCAGCAGUGGGGAAUAUUGCACAAUGGGCGAAAGCCUGAUGCAGCGACGCCGCGUGAGGGAUGACGGCCUUCGGGUUGUAAACCUCUUUCAGCAGGGAAGAAGCGAAAGUGACGGUACCUGCAGAAGAAGCGCCGGCUAACUACGUGCCAGCAGCCGCGGUAAUACGUAGGGCGCAAGCGUUGUCCGGAAUUAUUGGGCGUAAAGAGCUCGUAGGCGGCUUGUCACGUCGGAUGUGAAAGCCCGGGGCUUAACCCCGGGUCUGCAUUCGAUACGGGCUAGCUAGAGUGUGGUAGGGGAGAUCGGAUUCCUGGUGUAGCGGUGAAAUGCGCAGAUAUCAGGAGGAACACCGGUGGCGAAGGCGGAUCUCUGGGCCAUUACUGACGCUGAGGAGCGAAAGCGUGGGGAGCGAACAGGAUUAGAUACCCUGGUAGUCCACGCCGUAAACGUUGGGAACUAGGUGUUGGCGACAUUCCACGUCGUCGGUGCCGCAGCUAACGCAUUAAGUUCCCCGCCUGGGGAGUACGGCCGCAAGGCUAAAACUCAAAGGAAUUGACGGGGCCCGCACAAGCAGCGGGAGCAUGUGGCUUAAUUCGACGCAACGCGAAGAACCUUACCAAGGCUUGACAUAUACCGGAAAGCAUCAGAGAUGGUGCCCCCCUUGUGGUCGGUAUACAGGUGGUGCAUGGCUGUCGUCAGCUCGUGUCGUGAGAUGUUGGGUUAAGUCCCGCAACGAGCGCAACCCUUGUUCUGUGUUGCCAGCAUGCCCUUCGGGGUGAUGGGGACUCACAGGAGACUGCCGGGGUCAACUCGGAGGAAGGUGGGGACGACGUCAAGUCAUCAUGCCCCUUAUGUCUUGGGCUGCACACGUGCUACAAUGGCCGGUACAAUGAGCUGCGAUGCCGCGAGGCGGAGCGAAUCUCAAAAAGCCGGUCUCAGUUCGGAUUGGGGUCUGCAACUCGACCCCAUGAAGUCGGAGUUGCUAGUAAUCGCAGAUCAGCAUUGCUGCGGUGAAUACGUUCCCGGGCCUUGUACACACCGCCCGUCACGUCACGAAAGUCGGUAACACCCGAAGCCGGUGGCCCAACCCCUUGUGGGAGGGAGCUGUCGAAGGGGGACUUGGCGAUGGGACGAAUCGAAACAAGCGCCCUACCGAAGAACCUUACCAAGGCUUGACAUAUACCGGGAAAAGCAUCAGAGAUGGGUGCCCCCCCCUUUGUGGGUCGGUAUACAGGUGGUGCCAUGGCUGUCGUCAGCUUCGUGUCCGUGAGAAUGUUGGAUGAGGUCCGCUACGAGCGCCAAUCCAUUGCUCCUGUGUUGGCUAGGCCAUGUCUCUUCG